This 376-nucleotide long non-coding RNA is filed under the name Salvia miltiorrhiza (redroot sage). RNAcentral's name for it is "long non-coding RNA (SMIL_LNC014062)". Lineage: Eukaryota; Viridiplantae; Streptophyta; Magnoliopsida; Lamiales; Lamiaceae. The record is from RNAcentral.
CGGAGCGGCGAUGACUCCCGGUCGACGAUGUUCGCUGGAACCGUCCGCGGUGGAGCUCGUGAGGAGGCGGCCGGAGGAGAAUGACGAGAGAGAGAGAUGAUGAACAGUGUUCUUCCUUGAUUGAGAGAGAGAGAGCCGAGCGGCUGAUAAUUGAGAGAGAGAGAGAGUGUUCUUGAUAAUUGAGAGAGAGAGAGAGUGUUCUUGAUAAUUGAGAGAGAGAGAGAGUGGCUGCUUUAAUAAAAAAAAAAGAAAGGGAGAGAACCGAUAAUUUAGAGAGAGAGAGGAGAAUUGUCGGUAGUGAGAGAACCGAGAGUGAAGAUUUAUGGGGAGAAUUUUUGGACUCUUUUAUUGGGCCAUCUUUUUAUUUCUAACUGGG